AGUGAACGCUGGCGGUAGGCCUAACACAUGCAAGUCGAACGGCAGCACAGUAAGAGCUUGCUCUUACGGGUGGCGAGUGGCGGACGGGUGAGGAAUACAUCGGAAUCUACUUUUUCGUGGGGGAUAACGUAGGGAAACUGACGCUAAUACCGCAUACGACCUACGGGUGAAAGCAGGGGAGCUUCGGACCUUGCGCGAUUGAAUGAGCCGAUGUCGGAUUAGCUAGUUGGCGGGGUAAAGGCCCACCAAGGCGACGAUCCGUAGCCGGUCUGAGAGGAUGAUCAGCCACACUGGAACUGAGACACGGUCCAGACUCCUACGGGAGGCAGCAGUGGGGAAUCUUCGACAAUGGGCGCAAGCCUGAUCCAGCCAUACCGCGUGGGUGAAGAAGGCCUUCGGGUUGUAAAGCCCUUUUGUUGGGAAAGAAAAGCAGCAGGUUAAUCCCCCGCUGUUCUGACGGUACCCAAAGAAUAAGCCCCGGCUAACUUCGUG
Molecule: ribosomal RNA, 492 nt
Filed under: uncultured bacterium
Lineage: Bacteria
Description: partial 16S ribosomal RNA
Rfam family: Bacterial small subunit ribosomal RNA
Source: RNAcentral